Molecule: long non-coding RNA, 985 nt
Filed under: Hordeum vulgare
Lineage: Eukaryota; Viridiplantae; Streptophyta; Magnoliopsida; Poales; Poaceae
Description: long non-coding RNA (HVUL_LNC014400)
Source: RNAcentral
UCCUUCUGGCUGUCUAUAUAUACUGUAUAGGUAGUGAUUUUGUCGAGAAUAAUUUAUUUUGACCCAAACACAAAUUACCAUGCAUGUGAACCAAGAUGAUGUGUUGAAUAACUUAAUUAACCCCUUUACCACAAGUGAUGUGUAACUAAUAUUUAUAUUAUGUUUACAUGCACAAACUGAAUGUAUAUUUGUACUAUAUUUUAUUUUACUCAUAUGCUUCAAUCAGGACCUCGUGUGGAAGUGGGAGAAGGGACGCCACCAAUCUGUUCUGUUUCUUGUUGCUCCAACAAUAUGUGCCAGUUCGUACAUGCCAUAAUAUGCUUAUCUUUGUUCCAUCUGAUAUGUUAAACAUUGGAAAAAUGUAUACUUAUGCAAGGAUUUCUGCCACACGCUAAGACACCCAUAUUAGGCUCAUAUAUCUGAAGUACGUAACCUGAACCCCUCAAAGAAACGGUAACAAAACUAGUUCUAACGGGUCCAUAGUCACUUUGAAGUAAGUUCUGAAUGUAUUUCUAUCUACUAUGUAUCCUAGUAAUUUGUUAUGUAUAACAAAGAUUACAUGGCCUUCAACAUUUGUUCGUGACUAAUAACUUGCCUCUAUCACUACUUGCAUCAUGUCAAUUCAUUGUGUGUUAAGAGUUCAUUUUUUUUAUUUUCUUUGUAGAUUCAAAAGAUAUAUGGAUGAUUAUAUGGGUGGUGUGGCAAGUAUACUGCAAUGAUGACGAUGAUGUUUCGGUUCAUGAUGAUGAUGAUGGUGGACGCUUUCAGUUUUAGUUAAGUUGUAGGGAUGGUGUUCCUGUUGGAUCAUGUUACUCGAUUAAAUUUUAAUUAAGUUGCAGGGAUGUGAAGAAAACAUUUAGAUUAUGUAUCACAUUGGGAUGAUGUUCCUCAUGUAAUAUCCACUAUUGUAAUACAAUAGUUUUAUCCAAUAUAAGAUUUCUUCCCCUAGUGAAUAUAUUCUCUUGUUUUUUUGCCCAGUGUGUGG